RNAcentral lists this transfer RNA (63 nucleotides) under Platygaster robiniae. RNAcentral's name for it is "tRNA-Val". Lineage: Eukaryota; Metazoa; Arthropoda; Insecta; Hymenoptera; Platygastridae. The record is from RNAcentral.
UAAAUUUUAGUUUAAAAAAAAUUUUUUAUUUACAUUAAAAAGAUUAAUUUGAUUAAAAUUUAA